GCGCCAAGAGAAAGAGUCAGUUAGUUGGGUUUUCUAUCUGCUCUGACUGUUUGUUGUGUGUGUUUAAAACUCUCUCAAGUGUGAGUGAGAAGUCAAAUCAGAAAGUGGGCCCCGCAUAUCUAAAUGAUGGAUAGCUAAUGAUGGAUAGCAGCAUCCAUUACCCGUAGCCGUGUUUUUUGUGUUGGCCAAACAACAAUGCAUGUUAGUAGCUGGUUUUAGCUGUAUUUUUGCUUAGAAGGCCUUCAAAAUACUGAAUACUAAAUACACUUUUUAGUAUGCAUUAUACAACAAAAUUUGUGCGUCGUGUGUUAUUUAUUAGCCUGCUCGAGGUCAUUAAAUGGAAUAAAGUCAAUCUAUCAUCUCUAUGUUGAGACAUGGCUCUACCAAUAUCAACACAACCUUUCCAUAAAUCGGAAACAUCCGAGAUGGAAUUCAAAUAGCUGCUAGCAGAAGAUUCUGAAAACUUUAAAAACUGAAGAUGGCUGUAUACUUAAGGGAGAAAAUCAAAAAUUUCAACAUCUUUCUUUGUACUGGACAAUCAAGGAUUAAUCAAGGAUUCUAUCCUGCGGACUGCUCAAAUCUCAAAUCUAUUCAACACGCUCUUGAAUAUAAAGAUGAGCACAUUACCUUUAGCAGUGAUAACUUCCUUCUCCUAUACCACUACAAUUAUAUAUUACUGGACUUAAAACGAAAACAAACUUCAUUUGCUUUGGUUACCCGAACACAUUAAUAUAAUCGGGAAUUAACUUAAGCUUCAAUGACUUUCUCAACAAGACAACAGGCGGCCCAUCGUUAAUAUUUUGAAUACUAUCGAAUCAGAGAUUUCGCAGUCUUAAAAACAAGACAAACUCUUGGUGCAAAUUCUUCAACCCAAUCAAAAAUUAAGUCGAGUAAUUGAAAAUGAAUUUUGAAAUAUAUGUAAGAUGAUAUAAGUAUCGAAAUCAUAAUAUAAGUUGAUUGAUGAUUGUGAGCCCAAAUAAUAAACGAUUUAAGUCAAGUUUAUUUAGAAUCUAGAUCUGGCGAAUCUAAAAGAA
This is a long non-coding RNA of Drosophila willistoni, 1034 nucleotides long. RefSeq lists it as uncharacterized. The record is from RefSeq and is a predicted model, not a curated record. The transcript has 2 exons. NCBI's taxonomy places the organism in Eukaryota, Metazoa, Arthropoda, Insecta, Diptera, Drosophilidae.